UGCGUUUAAAAAGCUCGUAGUUGGAUUACGCAGUGUAAGAACGGUACUCAAUGUGUGGUGACAUUAAAGCUUCUUUGUGGAUUAGUAUGCGGGAUAACGGAUGUAUGAUGCAAAUCUGCAUUACGACUUGUGUAUCUGUUUACUUUGAGGUGUUGCAGUGCAUUGAAUCCAGCCGUCUUAUGCUACAUGUAUCGUGAAUGUAAUAUAUAGCCUUGAUUGGUCGUGUGUUGUGUUUGCGGAGUGUGCCUUGAAUAAAUCAAAGUGCUUAAAGCAGGCGUGUUAGCUUGAAUGUUAAUAGCAUGGAACGAACAAUUGUGAAUGCACAAGUGCAGUGUAAUGUUUAGACUUUGUUUAUUCAUAUGAUUGAGCUUGUGUAGCACCAACCAUUGAUACGGAUGUUGGUUUCCGUAUUGAGGUGAGUAUUAAAACGAGCGGUUGGGGGCAUUAGUAUUUGUCCGCGAGAGGUGAAAUUCUUGGACCGGACAAGGACUGACAAAUGCGAAAGCAUCUGCCUAGACCGUUUCGAUUGAUCAAGUACGAAAGUGAGAGGUUCGAAGACGAUCAGAUACCGUCCUAGUUCUCACUGUAAACUAUGCCAACCCGGGAUCAGUUUUGAGCUAAGUUAUAUACUAUGCUCGUGGUUGGUCCCCCUGGGAAACUUAAAGUUUUUAGGUUCCGGGGGGAGUAUGGUUGCAAGGCUGAAACUUAAAGGAAUUGACGGAAGGGCACCACCAGGGGUGGAGCCUGCGGCUUAAUUUGACUCAACACGGGAAAACUCACCAGGUCAGGACAUCGAAAGGAUUGACAGAUUGAUAGCUCUUUCAUGAUACGGUGUAUGGUGGUGCAUGGCCGUUCUUAGUUCGUG
This 865-nucleotide ribosomal RNA is filed under the name Aurantiactinomyxon sp. MFAK. RNAcentral describes it as "SSU rRNA". It matches the Rfam family "Eukaryotic small subunit ribosomal RNA", at positions 614 to 1303 of the family's 1831-position model. Lineage: Eukaryota; Metazoa; Cnidaria; Myxozoa. The record is from RNAcentral.